Ascaris suum (pig roundworm) is the source of this 83-nucleotide non-coding RNA. The record is from Rfam. Lineage: Eukaryota; Metazoa; Nematoda; Chromadorea; Rhabditida; Ascarididae.
GUGGUUUCGUCUACCCUGUAGUACCGAGCUGUGUUUGAGUGAUUAUGCAUACACGAUCGGUUGCCGGGUGAAUGACGCUGCCC